RNAcentral lists this ribosomal RNA (509 nucleotides) under uncultured bacterium. RNAcentral describes it as "bacterial SSU rRNA". It matches the Rfam family "Bacterial small subunit ribosomal RNA", at positions 8 to 526 of the family's 1533-position model. The record is from RNAcentral.
AGAGUUUGAUCCUGGCUCAGGACGAACGCUGGCGGCGUGCUUAACACAUGCAAGUCGAACGGAAAGUGCCCAGCUUGCUGGGUGACUCGAGUGGCGAACGGGUGAGUAACACGUGGGUGAUCUGCCCUGCACUUUGGGAUAAGCCUGGGAAACUGGGUCUAAUACCGAAUACACCUUGCUGGCUGCAUGGCCUGGUGGGGGAAAGCUUUUGCGGUGUGGGAUGGGCCCGCGGCCUAUCAGCUUGUUGGUGGGGUGAUGGCCUACCAAGGCGACGACGGGUAGCCGGCCUGAGAGGGUGUCCGGCCACACUGGGACUGAGAUACGGCCCAGACUCCUACGGGAGGCAGCAGUGGGGAAUAUUGCACAAUGGGCGCAAGCCUGAUGCAGCGACGCCGCGUGAGGGAUGACGGCCUUCGGGUUGUAAACCUCUUUCACUAGGGACGAAGCGCAAGUGACGGUACCUAGAGAAGAAGCACCGGCCAACUACGUGCCAGCCGCCGCGGUAAUAC